This is a long non-coding RNA of Neopelma chrysocephalum (saffron-crested tyrant-manakin), 4597 nucleotides long. RefSeq lists it as uncharacterized. The record is from RefSeq and is a predicted model, not a curated record. The transcript has 5 exons. NCBI's taxonomy places the organism in Eukaryota, Metazoa, Chordata, Aves, Passeriformes, Pipridae.
AGCUACUAAACCGAUAAAGCACAAUCAGCUCCCCUUGCUAGGAAGUGACAAAUGCGCCUUAGGGCACAGUAUCGAUGAUGUGCGGAUCACGGUCUCUAACGGCGCACAGCGGGGCCAUUAUCGUGUGUUGUCACCGCGUGCCAUUAAAAGGACUUUAAUCUGCCGAUCGCCGCCGCGAUACGCGGCUCCUGCCAGGGAUCUACUGACUAACAGGCCGGGACGCUGCGAAACCCCCCAUCCCCCGGGGUCGCCUGAAAAACACGGCCCGGCUCCCCCGUCAGUCAAUCGCGGCAACUCAAUUAAUGCAUCUGGGUCAGGAAAAUGGUUUGCGGGAGCCUGAGCCCGGUUACGAAACGCAGAUACCGCGGCGGGUACCGCGGGCGGCGGCGGAGGGCAGCACCCGCUGAGCCCAGUUCUGAAUAACAGCACCAGAUUCUGUCCUGGUGUCCCUGGAACACCUGGACAUUUUCCUAAGAUUUCUCCUACAUCUGCCCUGAAGCAAAUGCAAGCAGAACUGAGGAAUCUCAGCCUCUUCUCCAGAGCUGGCAGAAGUUGCCUGUUGUCAUUGCAGGUCUGGUAAGAGACUGGUCAGCCUGCCCAGCCCUUUACCUCGUCUCUGACAGCAGCCACUGGUAGGUAUGCGGGGAGGGACCCUAACAAGCCUCUUGCCUGGGGUUCUCCUAGUCCAUUGACCCAGCUGCAGACACUGGAUUAUUUGUAUCAGACAUAAGAGCCCUGAAGCAACACUGUUCGCCUCCUUUUGGCAGAGACCACUCCAAAGAGUUACAGUUUGGAAACAGUAUUGAAAAAGUAUCAUGCAGCUAUUUAAGUGGAAUAGGAAUCCUGGAUGUCCUCACCUUAUGGACAGGGGGAUGAGGAAAUCUCAAGUGUGAGGGAGGUGGACUAUAGCCGACAUGGAUGCUGCUGAGGGAGGUCACUGUGUGGAACUUCUGCUGCAAUGGAAAGGGAUGUUAUGUUAGCGUGACACAACAGCGUAGGACGAGGCAAAGCACUGUAGGAUGAGGGUCACAUCAGGACCUGCUUAUUCUGCUACUAACCUUAGGGUACAACUGGCAGGCCCUGAUUCUCAGUGGGAGGAUGAAAGAAGUGGGAGGAUGUUCUGGGAGACCCAGAGCAAUCUUUACUUUACACAGUACAGAGGACAAGGAGCAAUGUGAAGAAUGCCACAGAGGCCACAGUCAGACCAAGGGCUGAUAAAUAGCCAUACUCAAGGUGGAAAACUGAGACCAUGCACACAGUGAAAGGACUUUAAGGUACACUGCAUGAAUUUUGAGCCAAUGUGUUUUCUCUUGAUGUGGAACCUAGGUCUCCUUCUCCUCCUCUAAACAAUGGCUCCUCUUCACCUCUUCAGAAAACAAGAUGAUUGAUUUUUAAAGCUGCCAUGCAUUUUACAAUAGCAAGUUAGUGAUAGAAAGAGAAAAAAUUACAACAAAUUAGUGUUUUGGCAAGUAGAAUUAGGCUGUAUAAAACAAUAACAUUAGAAAAACCAAUUCAUUGCAGAUAAAGUCUAUGACAACAAAUCUUCAAACAACCAAAGAACACAAGACUGGUACUUAGAGCACAUCUUGUGCCCACCUCAGUGCCACUGCAGGCAGAGGUCUUGAUUUUUAAGGACAACCUGUUGCAUGUUUUACACAGGUAUCUGUUACAUGAGCACAUUAAAGAUCUAGCUCCAGCUUAGAAGCCUGUUUUCUGGAGCAGAUGUGAUGCUUCCUGUGAUGCUGGGGAAUGGAGUGGAUGUGAACUGCUCACUCAGAUACUGCUUGUUUCUUGGAUGAGCAGCUUUUCUUCCCUCGUGGAGUAUUUUUCUGCUUUGCACCCACAUCCCUUCCUUCAGGAGGAGCAAACUUAGCACUGUUUCCUGGAGACACCCGUUGCUGGUCCCUCUCAAGUUCCUUCAGUGAGAAGCCUUGUGUCCUUCACAACCACACAACAAUUUCCUAAGCCAUUGGGUGAGGAGCUCUGUUCCCCUAAACAGAGGAGCAGCAAAUGCUUGUGGACUCUGUGUCAGGCUUACCAGCUCUAACAAGCACCACUUGUCAGGCCCCUAACACACUCUCCUACCCUUCCAAGGCUCUUGAAUGCCUAGGCUUGGGGCCAGCUUAGGUAAGGGUUGCAGGUGUCACAUCUUGAAUCAAAGGUUUGAGAAAACACUGUGAGAAGCCUUGAUGGGAAUGGCCACUCUCCUCUGUGCUUUUAAGCUGACCACUCUACCUCUGCUCUCUGCCUAAGCUACUCUGUAGCUACAUCACAGACAUGCCUGUGCCCAUUCCUGUGCUCCAGGCUGGCCACCUACCCGAGAUGGACACAGCCCAAGGAACGCAAGAAGCAUAUGAAGCUUGUUCACAAAUCCUCCCUGGCACUGGAAACAAAGCACCAUAUGUUCGAGCAGCCAGAGCAAAAGGAUGCAUCCAAGGCAAAGGGAGUCAAGAGCAGAAGGGCAAGGGAGGUACACAGGGAAGGCAUCAGGACAUCUGCUUCAUGAUUCUCCUCCUCCUUAUGGCCACUGGUGGGUAACACCAGGGGGUGCCUCUCUGACUUCACUUCCUGAUAUCCUGCCCCUAAGGUGGCUACUCUUUAUGAGCAUCUUCCCCUCUCCUGCUGCUUUUGGACAUCAUCACUUCCCUCCUCUUUGCUUUAGGCUUUCCUAGCCCCUUGCUGUGUUAGCUGCCUGCUCAGCCCAGUGUGUAGGUGAAACCAACAGCUGUAUCAGCAACAAGCACUGGGAACGAGGAGAUCAGGUCCUGUACAUGUGCCAUUGUCCCCAGAGCAGAGCAUGGCAGGCAAGCCCCCACCCCACUGUCACUGAUACAUAAGUCACAAAGGUCGCCUGCAUCACUGGUCUGUCACACUGGGUCUGCUGGCUCAGACUGUAGAUAUUCAGAGUUUUAACUAACAUGGAAACAAGUAGGGCUUUCUUUUUUGAACACGUAUAGUUGAGGCUAAUAAAGUUUUGCAUCAGUUUAUUGUUUUGUGUGAGCUUAUUGCCUUUGAAAUGUGUGAUUUCCAACAUGUAUAGUCGAGGCUGAUAAAGUUUUGUAUCAGUUCAUUGCCUUUGAAAUGUAUGAUUUUCAUGUUUGUCCUGAAUGUCAUCUGUUAACAUUUCUUCUUUUCCUGGACAACCAAUAAAAAAAUGCUUGUAUUAGGAAUUGAGAUAAAUGCUUUAUUGACUCAUUUGAAAUACCCUUUUUUGUGAUGUAAAGUCAUUUAUAUUCAACGCUCAAUCUCAUAUGGCAAAAGAAAACAUAAAAAGGGUCAGCAUAAACAUCAGCACUGCAACACACCAUGAAAAUGAUCUCUGAAGAACCCCCUACACUGUCCAGCUCCUCCUGGGACUUCUGACCUGCUCAAGAGUCACAGAUCUGUACCAGAACAUCCCAUGUCUUCCUGCCAUCAUGCUGGGCUCAUGAAUGAGGGAUGGAAAGCAUGCCUUCAGUCCCUGGGAAUCACUGCAGGCAUCCCAGUGACACUUGUGUUGAAUGUCCCCUCUGAGACAGAAGAACUCAGCAAGUCUCUUAUUCAUCACUUUGAUGCCUGAGAAUCUACAGGUUUUAGAAAAUGAAGUCUCCCUGACUCUUCCCUUUUUCCAUUUCAGUGUUUUCCUUCCACCUUGCAUUUUGCAGUCCUCUCAGCCUACAGACCUGUGCAGGAUCUUUUAUCCCACAACCUUUUGGGAGGUUGUCAUGCAGCAGUUGCACAAUGUACAUAAGUAAAGAAGCUACAAGGACUGCACGAGUCACACAAAACCAAACUAAAUUACACACUGUUUUUUACUAGGUUCUGAUGACUUCAGAAGCACAGCAAGGGCCUCUGUAAUACUUAUGAAUUACUCACAUAGUAUUAUUUCAGUGCAGGAGCAGGAUAGAAUAGUCACACAGGGGGUGCUCUACGGAUGUGGUACCGUACAGAAAGACCUCACUAUUUCCAUGCAGGAAUAAAAGAACCAGGCGUGGAAGCAGACCAUAAAACUGCUCUGCCCAGAUCUGCAGGGGAAUCAAACAGAUGGCAGAUCCCACUGCAGUUUGGAUAAAGAUUUCAUAGCUAGAUAAUCAAGAAAAUAGUAAAGUGGUUUCAAGGUCAGCAAUGAGGUGAAAACCAGAUUUUCUUCAGCUAGGAGCAUCUACAGCCUUUCUCACACAUUUAGAGGAAAUGCACCAAACUCAGAAAUUCCUUCACUACCAGGAGCAAAAGCCAUCAGUGUAAGAAGAUAUUGCUACAGGGGAGAAUUUUCUUGGUUAACUAGCUUUUUUAAAAUUAAAAUUAAAACUAUUAUUUAUAAAUAGUUGUGCAUGACUAUUUAUGCGAGUAUAUGUUAGUAUGUUUUUUUAAAUUCAAUUAAACCUGCAGGUGGUCAUACACCAGAUUGUAAAUAAUAUUAGUUAUGAAUUUUGGCAACCAAAAUGAUUUUCAAAUAAUGGUUAUUGUUAUUGAAUUUGUUCUGGGACCAACACGCAUGUAGAGCUGUUGGCAGAUGAUUCUUUUCCUCUGUGCUUGUGUCUUUCAUGCCCUCACGAAUCCCUGAAUUGAGAAGUUAUAGCUUUAAAUGGAAAAUAUCCUCCCUGAUUUGUUGUGUUCU